RNAcentral lists this small nucleolar RNA (95 nucleotides) under Cicer arietinum (chickpea). Its description in RNAcentral is "Small nucleolar RNA R64/Z200 family". It matches the Rfam family "Small nucleolar RNA R64/Z200 family". Rfam says of the family: This family of plant small nucleolar RNAs belong to the C/D class of snoRNA which contain the C (UGAUGA) and D (CUGA) box motifs. The record is from Rfam by way of RNAcentral. Lineage: Eukaryota; Viridiplantae; Streptophyta; Magnoliopsida; Fabales; Fabaceae.
AUUCUGCUGUGAUGAAUUAAGAACAAAUUCACAUGUCAGACUUCAGAGAUUUUUAUAAUCAAUGAGAAUGACAACUCUUAUUCACUGAGCAGAAA